Molecule: ribosomal RNA, 259 nt
Filed under: uncultured bacterium
Lineage: Bacteria
Description: partial 16S ribosomal RNA
Rfam family: Bacterial small subunit ribosomal RNA
Source: RNAcentral
UACGUAGGGUGCAAGCGUUGUCCGGAAUUAUUGGGCGUAAAGAGCUCGUAGGCGGUUUGUUGCGUCGGCUGUGAAAUCCCGAGGCUCAACCUCGGGUCUGCAGUCGAUACGAGCAAACUAGAGUGUUGGCAGGGGAGACUGGAAUUCCUGGUGAUAGCGGUGAAAUGCGCAGAUAUCAGGGAGGGAACACCCGGUGGCGAAGGCGGGUCUCUGGGCAACAACUGACGUGGAGGAGCGAAAGCGUGGGGAGCGAACAGGA